GAGAUCGAGGGAUGGAGCAAAUCCCAAAAAUAACGUCCCAGUUCGGACUGUAGUCUGCAACCCGACUACACGAAGCUGGAAUCGCUAGUAAUCGCGGAUCAGAAUGCCGCGGUGAAUACGUUCCCGGGUCUUGUACACACCGCCCGUCACACCAUGGGAGUCAGUAACGCCCGAAGUCAGUGACCUAACCGAAAGGGAGGAGCUGCCGAAGGCGGGACGGAUGACUGGGGUGAAGUCGUAACAAGGUAAC
Molecule: ribosomal RNA, 250 nt
Filed under: uncultured bacterium
Lineage: Bacteria
Description: partial 16S ribosomal RNA
Rfam family: Bacterial small subunit ribosomal RNA
Source: RNAcentral